AUUGAACGCUGGCGGCAGGCUUAACACAUGCAAGUCGAGCGAGCGGCGGACGGGUGAGUAAUGUCUGGGAAACUGCCUGUUGGAGGGGGAUAACUACUGGAAACGGUAGCUAAUACCGCAUACCAUCAGAUGUGCCCAGAUGGGUUUAGCGAGUAGGUGGGGUAAUGGCUCACCUGGGCGACGAUCCCUAGCUGGUCUGAGAGGCUGACCGGCCACACUGGAACUGAGAAACGGUCCAGACUCCUCCGGGAGGCGGAAGGGGGGAAUAUUGCACAAGGGGGGCAGGCCUGAUGCAGCACUGCCGCGUGUGGGAAGAAGGCUUUCGGGUUUUAAGGUACUUUAAGCGAGGCGGCGUUACCGGCAGAAGAAGCAACGGCUAACUCCGUGCCAGCAGCCGCGGUAAUAC
Molecule: ribosomal RNA, 406 nt
Filed under: uncultured bacterium
Lineage: Bacteria
Description: partial 16S ribosomal RNA
Rfam family: Bacterial small subunit ribosomal RNA
Source: RNAcentral